AGUAAUGUCUGGGAAACUGCCUGAUGGAGGGGGAUAACUACUGGAAACGGUAGCUAAUACCGCAUAAUGUCUGCGGACCAAAGCGGGGGACCUCCGGGCCUCGCGCCAUCAGAUGAACCCAUAUGGGAUUAGCUAGUAGGUGGGGUAAUGGCUCACCUAGGCGACGAUCCCUAGCUGGUCUGAGAGGAUGACCAGCCACACUGGAACUGAGACACGGUCCAG
Molecule: ribosomal RNA, 222 nt
Filed under: uncultured bacterium
Lineage: Bacteria
Description: partial 16S ribosomal RNA
Rfam family: Bacterial small subunit ribosomal RNA
Source: RNAcentral